Molecule: ribosomal RNA, 253 nt
Filed under: uncultured bacterium
Lineage: Bacteria
Description: partial 16S ribosomal RNA
Rfam family: Bacterial small subunit ribosomal RNA
Source: RNAcentral
UACGAACUGUGCAAACGUUAUUCGGAAUCACUGGGCUUAAAGGGUGCGUAGGCGGUCAUUUAAGUAGGGUGUGAAAGCCCCCGGCUCAACCGGGGAACUGCGUCCUAAACUGGGUGACUCGAGUGAGAUAGAGGUGUGUGGAACUUCCAGUGGAGCGGUGAAAUGUGUUGAUAUUGGAAGGAACGCCGGUGGCGAAAGCGACACACUGGGUCUCAACUGACGCUGAGGCACGAAAGCCAGGGGAGCGAACGGG